Molecule: small RNA, 28 nt
Filed under: Bombyx mori (domestic silkworm)
Lineage: Eukaryota; Metazoa; Arthropoda; Insecta; Lepidoptera; Bombycidae
Description: piRNA piR-bmo-1381739
Source: RNAcentral
UCAUGACGGGCCUUAUGCAAGUUUUGUA